GGGACCCGCACAAGCAGCGGAGCGUGUGGUUUAAUUCGUUGCUACACGAAGAACCUUACCUGGGUUUGACAUAUAGGUUGUAGGGAACUGAAAGGGACCGACCCUUCGGGGAGCCUAUACAGGUGUUGCAUGGCUGUCGUCAGCUCGUGUCGUGAGAUGCUCGGUUAAGUCCGCUAACGAGCGCAACCCUCGUCGUAUGUUAUAUGUGUCAUACGAGACUGCCGGUAAAAAGCCGGAGGAAGGUGAGGAUGAUGUCAAGUCAGCAUGACCUUUAUAUCCAGGGCUACACACACGCUACAAUGGUCUGUACAAUGGGUAGCCAAGCCGCGAGGCGGAGCCAAUCCUGAAAGCAGGCCUCAGUUCAGAUUGCAGUCUGCAACUCGACUGCAUGAAGCCGGAGUUGCUAGUAACCGCAGGUCAACAAUACUGCGGUGAAUACGUUCCCGGGUCUU
This 452-nucleotide ribosomal RNA is filed under the name uncultured Anaerolineaceae bacterium. Its description in RNAcentral is "bacterial SSU rRNA". It matches the Rfam family "Bacterial small subunit ribosomal RNA", at positions 916 to 1382 of the family's 1533-position model. The record is from RNAcentral. Lineage: Bacteria; Bacillati; Chloroflexota; Anaerolineae; Anaerolineales; Anaerolineaceae.